GGGAAACAUGAACAACAGAAUGAUGGUUGAUUUAAAAUCCAUGUUUUUAUGUAGUAGAUUGCUGAUGGGGGAGAUUGUUUUUCAAUUAAUUGUACUAUUGUAUUAUAGCUUUAAUGGAAAGAGUCAGGUUCAGAAAAUAGUUUUAACAUAUUAUCAGAACACAUCCCUUUUUAAAGAGUACAAAACAAAAAAAUUUGAGGUAAUUACAUAUUCAUAUUGACACAACGAUUUGAAUGGUUAAUAAAAUUUUAUUUAAAGUAAUUAUUUAGGGAAAAAAUACACUAAAAAUGUCAUAUAUUCAGAAAAGAAAGGUUACUGUAUCUACAAUUAUCAUUCUACAAUUAUAACUUACGUAUUAUACUGUAUUAAAUUAUUCUACAAUUAUAACUUUUAAGACGACGAACUAAGACUCUUAACAAAAGUCGUGGAACUAACAGGAACACGUGCAUAUAUUAAACGACGCGUCUUGACAACAUUUAUUAUUUAGUUAUCAAAUCAUUUUCGUUUAUCUUAUAAAAUUAAUGUCUUUAAAUAGUAUACAAGUAUUAAUAAAUGAUCAAUUUGCUUUUAUUUUUGAGAAAUCUUAUUCCAACCUGUAGUUGGGGCGCUAGUUGUCUAAAAUGACAUAGUGAUUUAAAAAAAAAAAAACAUUUUUUUUGCUUGCAGUGUUUUGUUUA
This 677-nucleotide long non-coding RNA is filed under the name Androctonus crassicauda. The record is from RNAcentral. Lineage: Eukaryota; Metazoa; Arthropoda; Arachnida; Scorpiones; Buthidae.